RNAcentral lists this ribosomal RNA (484 nucleotides) under uncultured bacterium. RNAcentral describes it as "partial 16S ribosomal RNA". It matches the Rfam family "Bacterial small subunit ribosomal RNA", at positions 30 to 507 of the family's 1533-position model. The record is from RNAcentral.
AUUGAACGCUGGUGGAAUGCUUUACACAUGCAAGUCGAACGGCAGCACGGGGGCAACCCUGGUGGCGAGUGGCGAACGGGUGAGUAAUACAUCGGAACGUGCCCGGUCGUGGGGGAUAACGUAGCGAAAGUUACGCUAAUACCGCAUACGAUCUGAGGAUGAAAGCGGGGGACCUUCGGGCCUCGCGCGAUCGGAGCGGCCGAUGUCAGAUUAGGUAGUUGGUGGGGUAAAGGCCUACCAAGCCGACGAUCUGUAGCUGGUCUGAGAGGACGACCAGCCACACUGGGACUGAGACACGGCCCAGACUCCUACGGGAGGCAGCAGUGGGGAAUUUUGGACAAUGGGCGCAAGCCUGAUCCAGCCAUUCCGCGUGCAGGACGAAGGCCUUCGGGUUGUAAACUGCUUUUGUAUGGAACGAAAAGGCUCUGGCUAAUACCUGGGGCUCAUGACGGUACCGUAAGAAUAAGCACCGGCUAACUACGUG